Molecule: non-coding RNA, 1404 nt
Organism: Carica papaya (papaya)
Lineage: Eukaryota; Viridiplantae; Streptophyta; Magnoliopsida; Brassicales; Caricaceae
Source: RefSeq, a predicted model, not a curated record
AGUUGUGUUAGCCUGCUUUUGUUUGGCUUUUUUUUCUCUGUUUUAUGGAGAAGGAGAGACAAGGUGUAUAUGCAAGAAGCAGAGGUUGUAUUUGGGAAGUAAACCCUUGAGCAUUUAGGGAAACGUGAUGAGUCAAAUUUAGACUCCGGUACCAACUGAUGUAGGAAAAAAAAGAGGUUGAUAAGAAAACUUAGAGAAAAUUUUAUUAAUUUUAUCAAGAACAACCUGGAAGUUUUGGAUCUCAAUAAUUAAAACAAUAUUUCAAUAUUGGAAUAAUAAUCAUAAAUAAUUUACUUAAUGAUCAAGUUAAAAUACUUUAUUCAUAGGCACCCAAAUACAUUAAAAAUCGGAGGUUUAGGAAAACCUAGUAAAUAAGAAAAUAAAUUAAAUAGAAAGAAUUAAGAAAAUAGGAAAUUUAGGAAUUAGAAAGAUAAAUCUUCCUAUUACCUUUUUUUGUAAAACUUUCCAAAACUUGGAAAAGGAAAUUAAUUCUUCUUAUUUCUUUUAAAUAGCUUAUCUAAACGUUUAUGCAUCACAUCUAGUAUCCUCUAUUAUUAAAAUAUAUCCAUUUAGAAGCUUUUAUUUCUGCAGCACAUCUGGUAUUUUAUGUGUAGUCCAGGAGAUAUUUAGCGUUGUUAUAACACGAAAUAACCUGGAAAAACAUUUCAGCUAUUUAAAUGGCUAGGAAUGAGGGCACUAAGCAAAUGAGUUGAUUCUUUCUUGGCCAUAGAUUCACUAUGACUUCCAUGUGCAGGUAUGGUGUUUUAAAGAUACGGGAAUACUGCCUAGAUACUAUUGCUUGUAACUUUGAGAUGUUUGCAGAGACCCACGAAUUCCGAGAUAUGCUUUUGACCUUGCCUCCACCAUCUGGAGAUUCCUCACUUCGGACCACUGUUCCUAGUGCUCCAGGUGCUGUGGCAAAUGCGGAACAGGCUAAUCUUCUUGACGAUUUACGUGAGAAAUGGCUUGAAGUUGAAGCUGCUGAGCUUGACAAGAGAGACGAAAGUGCCUUACUUUUUGACAAGCGCCUAGAGAUGCUUAUGGUUGUGGCUGAACAAGAAAAACGUGCUGCUUCAGUCGAUGACAUUUAAGGUUGCCUUGAAUGAUCAUUUAUUCUUUUGCUUGUUCUUGUGGCUCAAAUAAUAGAAGAAAGCAUUUGUGUUUCAGCACUUGUCCCCAGAGACACUGCUGCUGCUGUCCUGGCUCCUCUCCCCAGCUUUUGAGUUUUUUUUUUUUUUUUCCUUUCCGCCAAUUGGGAAGCCAACUAUAUUCAUUAACCCAUGGUUUUUUGUAUAAGCCCUAAGAUGUCCGAAGAAACUUCAGUUAUUGCAUUACAGCGAUGUAAAUCCAUUACUUACUGGAUAAUCAAAUGGCACGUUUUGACUAGUAAUUCUGGGCAAGAAA